AUCUAUUUGAUGAGUCCAAAAUAGAACGAAACGCAAGUUCUGGAU
Schistosoma haematobium is the source of this 45-nucleotide non-coding RNA. NCBI's taxonomy places the organism in Eukaryota, Metazoa, Platyhelminthes, Trematoda, Strigeidida, Schistosomatidae. The record is from Rfam.